AUUGAACGCUGGCGGAAUGCUUUACACAUGCAAGUCGAGCGGCAGCGCGGGGGCAACCCUGGCGGCGAGCGGCGAACGGGUGAGUAACAUAUCGGAACGUACCCAGUCGUGGGGGAUAACUAUCCGAAAGGAUAGCUAAUACCGCAUACGUCCUGAGGGAGAAAGCGGGGGAUCGCAAGACCUCGCGCGAUUGGAGCGGCCGAUAUCGGAUUAGCUAGUUGGUGGGGUAAAGGCUCACCAAGGCGACGAUCCGUAGCGGGUUUGAGAGAAUGAUCAGCCACACUGGGACUGAGACACGGCCCAGACUCCUACGGGAGGCAGCAGUGGGGAAUAUUGGACAAUGGGCGAAAGCCUGAUCCAGCCAUGCCGCGUGAGUGAAGAAGGCCUCGGUU
Molecule: ribosomal RNA, 392 nt
Filed under: uncultured bacterium
Lineage: Bacteria
Description: bacterial SSU rRNA
Rfam family: Bacterial small subunit ribosomal RNA
Source: RNAcentral